ACGUAGGGGGCAAGCGUUAUCCGGAUUUACUGGGUGUAAAGGGAGCGUAGACGGCGAAGCAAGUCUGAAGUGAAAAUCCGGGGCUCAACUCCGGAAGUGCUUUGGAAACUGUUUUGAUAGAGUGUCGGAGAGGUAAGUGGAAUUCCUGGUGUAGCGGUGAAAUGCGUAGAUAUCAGGAAGAACACCGGAGGCGAAGGCGGCUUACUGGACGAUAACUGACGUUGAGGCUCGAAAGCGUGGGAAGCAAACAG
This 251-nucleotide ribosomal RNA is filed under the name uncultured bacterium. RNAcentral's name for it is "partial 16S ribosomal RNA". It matches the Rfam family "Bacterial small subunit ribosomal RNA", at positions 525 to 775 of the family's 1533-position model. The record is from RNAcentral.